CCCUUAGAUGUUCUGGGUCGCACGCGCGCGACACUGAUGCAUUCAACGAGUUUCUUCCUGGUCCGAGAGGAAUGGGUAACCUUUUGAAAGUGCAUCGUGAUAGGGAUAGACUAUUGCAAUUAUUGGUCUUCAACGAGGAAUUCCUAGUAGACGUAGUUCAUCAGACUGCAUCGAUUACGUCCCUGCCCUUUGUACACACCGCCCGUCGCUCCUACCGAUUGAAUGCUCAGGUGAGCCAUUCGGACCUUCAUCAUGCCGGUUUCCGGUUUUGAUGAGGGAAAGUCUUGCGAACCUUAUCAUUUAGAGGAAGGAGAAGUCGUAACA
Molecule: ribosomal RNA, 324 nt
Filed under: uncultured eukaryote
Lineage: Eukaryota
Description: partial 18S ribosomal RNA
Rfam family: Eukaryotic small subunit ribosomal RNA
Source: RNAcentral